CCGCACUGUUCGUAACCUGGUUCAGUCUCCAGUGUGAAUUUGGGUUCCAUUCCAGUGCCAUAGUGAACUCCAGUGAGGCAGGGGAGCAGUGCCUGUUUGUGCUGGCUCCCUGUUCACUCUCUGGGAACACUG
Molecule: small nucleolar RNA, 132 nt
Filed under: Seriola lalandi dorsalis
Lineage: Eukaryota; Metazoa; Chordata; Actinopteri; Carangiformes; Carangidae
Source: RNAcentral